Molecule: ribosomal RNA, 429 nt
Filed under: Acidobacteriota bacterium
Lineage: Bacteria; Pseudomonadati; Acidobacteriota
Description: Acidobacteria bacterium partial 16S ribosomal RNA
Rfam family: Bacterial small subunit ribosomal RNA
Source: RNAcentral
UGGGGAAUUUUGGACAAUGGGGGAAACCCUGAUCCAGCCAUCCCGCGUGUGCGAUGAAGGCCUUCGGGUUGUAAAGCACUUUUGGCAGGAAAGAAACGUCAUGGGUUAAUACCCCGUGAAACUGACGGUACCUGCAGAAUAAGCACCGGCUAACUACGUGCCAGCAGCCGCGGUAAUACGUAGGGUGCAAGCGUUAAUCGGAAUUACUGGGCGUAAAGCGUGCGCAGGCGGUUCGGAAAGAAAGAUGUGAAAUCCCAGAGCUCAACUUUGGAACUGCAUUUUUAACUACCGGGCUAGAGUGUGUCAGAGGGAGGUGGAAUUCCGCGUGUAGCAGUGAAAUGCGUAGAUAUGCGAAGGAACACCGAUGGCGAAGGCAGCCUCCUGGGAUAACACUGACGCUAAUGCACGAAAGCGUGGGGAGCAAACAGG